RNAcentral lists this ribosomal RNA (253 nucleotides) under uncultured bacterium. RNAcentral describes it as "partial 16S ribosomal RNA". It matches the Rfam family "Bacterial small subunit ribosomal RNA", at positions 524 to 776 of the family's 1533-position model. The record is from RNAcentral.
UACGGGGGGAGCAAGCGUUGUUCGGAUUUACUGGGCGUAAAGGGCGCGUAGGCGGCAAUUCAAGUCAUCUGUGAAAUCUCCGGGCUUAACUCGGAACGGUCAGAUGAUACUGCUUUGCUAGAGUGCAGAAGGGGCAAUCGGAAUUCUUGGUGUAGCGGUGAAAUGCGUAGAUAUCAAGAGGAACACCUGAGGUGAAGACGGGUUGCUGGGCUGACACUGACGCUGAGGCGCGAAAGCCAGGGGAGCAAACGGG